CAGCUCUCGGAGGCGCCUUCCCUUUGAUCUAGGAGGGCCCGGCCCCCACCCACUACAUCGGGGACGCAAUUUCCCUUUCUAAGGGGACUGGAUGCUCCCAGAUGCAAGAGUCAGUGACUGGAGUCCGACUGGGGCAGGCCAGGGUCCCUUUGUGCAGAGCCCGGAGCGGCCGUCACAGGCAGUGGGAACCCGAGGGCCAGAGGCCCUGAGAGCUCUGGGUCGACAGUGCCUGACAGGUGCUGGCACAACGCCAUGGCAACAACUGACCAAGCAGUUUCUCUGGAGCAGACAGCCUGGGUCCAAAUCGCAGCCUCCUUGCUAGCUGUGUGAUCUCAGACAGGUGACUUAACUUUUCUGUGUCUCAGUGUCCAUGUUUGUAAAAUGGCAAUGUCACAAUAUCCAUCUUAUGAAGUUGUCAAGACUAAAAGAGUUAAUAUUUAUAAAGUCUUAGAAGAUGAUGGAACAUGAUAGUGUAUGAAAAUAGAAUGUGUACAUGUAUGUGUAACUGGGUCACCAUGCUGUACAGUAGAAAAAAAAAAGUUGUAUUGGGGAAAUAACUAUUAAAAAAAUUGAAAAUAAAUAAAUAAAUAAAAAAUAAAGUCUUAGAAGU
This 610-nucleotide long non-coding RNA is filed under the name Sus scrofa (pig). RNAcentral describes it as "lncRNA (ENSSSCG00025057562.1, ENSSSCG00035057814.1)". The record is from RNAcentral. Lineage: Eukaryota; Metazoa; Chordata; Mammalia; Artiodactyla; Suidae.